CCCAUUCCGAACACGGCAGUUAAGCUCUUCAGCGCCGAUGGUAGUUGGGGGUUUCCCCCUGUGAGAGUAGGACGCCGCCAAGC
RNAcentral lists this ribosomal RNA (83 nucleotides) under Peribacillus simplex. Lineage: Bacteria; Bacillati; Bacillota; Bacilli; Caryophanales; Bacillaceae. RNAcentral also lists the same sequence under 4 other names. The record is from RNAcentral.